AAUUUUGGACAAUGGGGGCAACCCUGAUCCAGCCAUCCCGCGUGUGCGAUGAAGGCCUUCGGGUUGUAAAGCACUUUUGGCAGGUAAGAAAAGGCGCCGGAUACUACCUGGCGCCGCUGACGGUACCUUCAGCAUAAGUACGGGCUAACUCCGUGCCACGAGCCGCGGUAAUACGUAGGGUGCAAGCGUUAAUCGGAAUUACGGGGCGUAAAGCGUGCGCAGGCGGUUCGGAAAGAAAGAUGUGAAAUCACAGGGCUUAACCUUGGAACUGCAUUUUUAACUGCCGGGCUAGAGUAUGUCAGAGGGGGGUAGAAUUCCACGUGUAGCAGUGAAAUGCGUAGAGAUGUGGAGGAAUACCGAUGGCGAAGGCAGCCCCCUGGGAUAAUACUGACGCUCAUGCACGAAAGCGUGGGGAGCAAACA
RNAcentral lists this ribosomal RNA (422 nucleotides) under uncultured bacterium. RNAcentral's name for it is "partial 16S ribosomal RNA". It matches the Rfam family "Bacterial small subunit ribosomal RNA", at positions 360 to 774 of the family's 1533-position model. The record is from RNAcentral.